GUCUCUUCGCUUAUAAUGCUAGUCUCUUGGGAGGUUUGGAAAGAGAGAGAUGCGAGGGUGUUCGAGAAGAAAUCCUCAAUGCCUACCACGGUGCUAGAGGGCAUCAAGGUGGAGGCCAGGAAUUGGGUUUUGGCCGGGACUAAACACUUGGGAUCCUUGAUGCCGCAGAGUAGCCUUUUGUUUUUCGCAUUUGUUGAGGAGUAA
This 204-nucleotide ribosomal RNA is filed under the name Triticum aestivum (bread wheat). RNAcentral describes it as "partial small subunit ribosomal RNA". Lineage: Eukaryota; Viridiplantae; Streptophyta; Magnoliopsida; Poales; Poaceae. The record is from RNAcentral.